Long non-coding RNA from Phyllopteryx taeniolatus (common seadragon), 553 nucleotides. RefSeq lists it as uncharacterized. The record is from RefSeq and is a predicted model, not a curated record. Lineage: Eukaryota; Metazoa; Chordata; Actinopteri; Syngnathiformes; Syngnathidae. The transcript has 3 exons.
AGGGUCGCGGGCUGCUGCAGACUAUCCCAGCUAUCGUCGGGCGGGAGGCGGGGUACACCCUGAACCGGUCGCCAGCCAAUCGCAGUUGGUCAUAAUGGUGGUACUUGACGUGAAAGGUUGGAGAACCACUGACCCAAGUUGACGUUUGGCGAGAUACAGCCACAGGCCGCUAACAAAUGGAUGGCUGGCUGGACUUUGGGACAUCCCUGUCUCAGAUGUUCAACGGCUAAAUGGCUGAUGAAGAGGCAUCAGGAGAAGGUAUUUAAUAAGGUGAAAAGGAAAUGUUCCCAAAGAGGAUUGUUUUGCUUGAGGGGAGUCGAUAAAUCAUUUAGGCACGACUCGAGGACACAGACUGUGGUCAGUAGGCAAAAAAGAGGUCAUCUCGUCAAUAUUUCACCACACAUCAAUGCAGGAAACGCCGGCUGCUCCCCCGUUGUUACGAUCGUAUCCGUAGCCGCGCCGUACCGCCGACACAUUAAGAUGCGUUGCCUGCCUCCCGUUUGCAUCGCGGGCUAAGUGAGGCGUGAAAGUGUACGCAGCGGCAAACGACAAC